GUGCCAGCAGCCGCGGUAAGACGGAGGGUGCAAGCGUUGUUCGGAUUGACUGGGCGUAAAGGGCGUGUAGGCGGUUGGUCAAGUCUGGUGUGAAAGCCCGGGGCUUAACCCCGGAAGUGCAUUGGAAACUAGCCAGCUAGAGCGCGAGAGAGGAGGGUGGAAUUCCUGGUGUAGCGGUGAAAUGCGUAGAUAUCAGGAGGAACACCGGCGGCGAAGGCGGCCCUCUGGCUCGUUGCUGACGCUGAAACGCGAAAGCGUGGGGAGCAAACAGGAUUAGAUACCCUGGUAGUCC
RNAcentral lists this ribosomal RNA (292 nucleotides) under uncultured bacterium. RNAcentral's name for it is "partial 16S ribosomal RNA". It matches the Rfam family "Bacterial small subunit ribosomal RNA", at positions 505 to 796 of the family's 1533-position model. The record is from RNAcentral.